Molecule: non-coding RNA, 73 nt
Organism: Salmo salar (Atlantic salmon)
Lineage: Eukaryota; Metazoa; Chordata; Actinopteri; Salmoniformes; Salmonidae
Source: Rfam
GUCAUUGUGGCUCAGUUGGUAGAGCAUGGUGUUUGCAACGCCAGGGUUGUGGGUUCGAUUCCCACGGGGGACC